CAGUGUUGGAGUGGGGAGCUGAGGCUUUGGUGAGAAGAGGUGAAGGUUAUAACUCAAAGCAAUAAGGAAGAUAAAACUAUCCUUUUGAGCUUCAGGAGUUUUCUUUCAACCAACAACCAAGGAGAGAGGGAGUUUGCCAGUUUUAUUGAGACCUACUCAUCAAAGAAAAUGUUGGAGAGCUGCUCUUCCUACUGCCUGUGGAGACAAAGUAAUGAAGAGAAAUGAUCGGUUAGCCAGUUAUACCUGGGGAGUAAGCCUAAUCUAAUAAAGAGAGACUCAUCCAUCCUAAGCCUUAUGUUGGCCAGAAGCAGUAAGGCUUAUGAGAAGAACAUUUAAUAGCCUGCUGAGAGUGAUAAUUUGGCCUAUUUGUUUAGUUUUCUAUUCAAGAAAAGUUUUAUGGUUAUCUAAAUCAAGAUAAUAUGGUAGUUUUUUAGUCAUUGUUAUUGAUGGUUCUAUUUAAUUAACUGAUUUUUAAAUCCCCACCUAACAUGAUAUGAACAUUUGAUCUGUAUUAUUAGUCCAACCUCUGGAUUACCAGUAUAGUAUAUAUUCACACUUCAACUAUAACCCUGGUAAUAAUAUGAUUGUAUAAUUAGAUAUUGGCCUCAGUUGAUACACACCUGAACACUAUCUCCCUGAACCACUGGGAGGA
Molecule: long non-coding RNA, 652 nt
Organism: Pristis pectinata (smalltooth sawfish)
Lineage: Eukaryota; Metazoa; Chordata; Chondrichthyes; Rhinopristiformes; Pristidae
Exons: 3
Source: RefSeq, a predicted model, not a curated record